UAUGGCAGACAAAGUGCAAUGGAUUUAAAAUCCUACUAUAAAGAUCCACCCCCUUUUAUUAAAA
This 64-nucleotide transfer RNA is filed under the name Temnothorax ravouxi. Its description in RNAcentral is "tRNA-Leu". Lineage: Eukaryota; Metazoa; Arthropoda; Insecta; Hymenoptera; Formicidae. The record is from RNAcentral.